AUGGCAGAAUCGGACCACAGCAUUCACGUGCUCCUCGUCUCGUACCCAGCCCAGGGCCACAUCAAUCCGCUCCUCCAGCUAGCGAAGCGGCUCGCCGGCCACCGGGGCAUCCGCUGCACCCUCGCCGUGACCCGGUCCGUUCUCGGCAACUCCGGCGGACCAUCUCAGGCCGGCGCUACCUUCCUGGCACGGCUCGAGUCCGUCGGGUCGUCCACGCUGGACGAGCUCCUCCGCUCCGAGGCGGAGCAGGGCCGGCCGGUGCACGCGGUCGUGUACGACGCGUUCUUGCUCUGGGCGCCGCGCGUGGCUCGGCGGCACGGCGCCAAGUGCGCGGCCUUCUUCACGCAGGCGUGCGCGGUGAACGUGGUGUACGCCCACGCGUGGGCAGGCCUCGUGAAACUCCCCGUCGACAAGGAGAACGCGCCGGCGAAGCUGCCAGGCCUGCCCACGCCGCUGUCGCCGGCCGACUUCCCUUCCUUCCUCACGGAUCCGGGCAGCAGCCCCGCUUACCUGCACCUGCUCCUACAGCAGUGCGAGGGGCUCGAGGAAGCAGAGUAUUUGGCGUCCAGGUGGGGGGCCAAGGCGGUCGGCCCCAGCAUCCCGUCGGCGUACCUCGACAGUCGCAUGGCCGACGACACGUCCUACGGCUUCCACCUCCACGCUCCGAUGGCGGCGGAGAGCAAGGCCUGGCUGGACGACAGACCGGCGCGCUCCGUGGUGUACGUCUCCUUCGGCAGCCUCGCCACGCCCGACCGUGCGCAGGUGGCCCAGGUCGCCGAGGGGCUGUACACCAGCGGCCACCCCUUCCUGUGGGUAGUCAGGGCGUCCGAGACCUGGAAGCUGCCCGAGGGCUUCGUCGACAAGGUCAAGUCCAAGGGGCGAGGCCUCUUCGUGACAUGGAGCCCGCAGCUGGAGGUGCUCGCGCACCCGGCCGUCGGCUGCUUCGUCACGCACUGCGGUUGGAACUCCACGGUAGAGGCCCUCAGCAUCGGUGUGCCCAUGGUCGCCGUGCCGCAGUGGUCGGACCAGCCGACCAACGCCAAAUACGUCCAGGACGUCUGGCACGUGGGCGUGCACGUGAAAGGGGCGGUGACCAAGGAGGAGCUGGCGAGGUGCGUCAAAGAGGUCAUGGACGAUACCAAGGGCUACAAGACCAAUGCUGCAAGCUGGAGCCACACGGCGAAGAAGGCCAUGAGUGAAGAUGGCAGCUCGGACCGCAACAUCGCCGACUUCCUUUCCAAACUUGGACGACUUCCUAGUAUUUGUGUUUUCUUCUUUUGUACUAUGCCAUAUCAUGCAUUUUGUGCCUUUCUGCCUGGCUUGUCAUAUGUUUCUUAUUUUAUGUUAAUUAUAUCAUGGACACAGUUGUUGGGAUUCGAAGUGAAACAGCUUGCACUAUGA
This 1401-nucleotide ribosomal RNA is filed under the name Triticum aestivum (bread wheat). RNAcentral describes it as "partial small subunit ribosomal RNA". Lineage: Eukaryota; Viridiplantae; Streptophyta; Magnoliopsida; Poales; Poaceae. The record is from RNAcentral.